RNAcentral lists this transfer RNA (76 nucleotides) under Bacteroides pyogenes. RNAcentral describes it as "tRNA-Val". It matches the Rfam family "tRNA". Rfam says of the family: Transfer RNA (tRNA) molecules are approximately 80 nucleotides in length. The record is from RNAcentral. Lineage: Bacteria; Pseudomonadati; Bacteroidota; Bacteroidia; Bacteroidales; Bacteroidaceae.
GAAUUGUUAGCUCAGUUGGUUUAGAGCACUGCCUUGACAUGGCAGAGGUCGCCGGUUCGAGCCCGGCACGGUUCAC